Molecule: unclassified non-coding RNA, 238 nt
Filed under: uncultured fungus
Lineage: Eukaryota; Fungi
Description: sequence contains ITS2
Rfam family: 5.8S ribosomal RNA (bases 1-52)
Source: RNAcentral
AACGCACAUUGCGCCCUGUGGUAUUCCGCAGGGCAUGCCUGUUCGAGCGUCAUUAUAACCACUCACGCCUGGCGUGGUGUUGGGACCCGCGGUUCCGCGGUCCUCAAACCCAGUGGCGGUGCCCGUGGGCUCUAAGCGUAGUAAUACUCCUCGCUAUAGGGUCCCGCGGGUUGCCCGCCAGAACCCCCAAAUUUUUCAGGUUGACCUCGGAUCAGGUAGGGAUACCCGCUGAACUUAA